This 71-nucleotide transfer RNA is filed under the name Echinosorex gymnura. Its description in RNAcentral is "tRNA-Arg". It matches the Rfam family "tRNA". From Rfam's summary of the family: Transfer RNA (tRNA) molecules are approximately 80 nucleotides in length. Lineage: Eukaryota; Metazoa; Chordata; Mammalia; Eulipotyphla; Erinaceidae. The record is from RNAcentral.
UGAUAAUUAGUUUAAUAAUAAAAUUAAUGGUUUCGACCCAUUAGACUAUGAAUACAUAUCAUAAUUAUCAA